This 71-nucleotide transfer RNA is filed under the name Vannella simplex. RNAcentral's name for it is "tRNA-Gln". It matches the Rfam family "tRNA". From Rfam's summary of the family: Transfer RNA (tRNA) molecules are approximately 80 nucleotides in length. Their secondary structure includes four short double-helical elements and three loops (D, anti-codon, and T loops). Lineage: Eukaryota; Discosea; Flabellinia; Vannellidae. The record is from RNAcentral.
CUUGAUAUAGCCAAAUGGGAAGGCAUUACUUUUUGAUAGUAUGUAUUGGGGUUCGAGUCCCUCUAUCAAGA